ACCCAGAUCUGUCUGGUGCCCGACCGUGAAGGCAGAAUCUCCGGUGGGCUAUCAGCGGGGGGGAUUCGGCUUGGAGCAGCGGUCUAUCUCCGACUACGAUGCCGUUCUCCCAGCCGCACGAACCCUGGGACAAAAUGGAGGUGACCAGCGUUAGUAGUGAGGUUAAUGGUCACCAGAUCCUGGAUGAGCCGAUGGACGAGGGAGAGUCUUUUACUCAUUGUGACGAGGUUCUGUCAUAUUCAGAGAUCCAUAUCACCCACCAUGUGAAGGAGGGCUGUGAGAAGGCUGACCCGAGGCACUUUGAGCUGCUUAAGGUCCUGGG
Oncorhynchus masou masou (cherry salmon) is the source of this 322-nucleotide long non-coding RNA. RefSeq lists it as uncharacterized. NCBI's taxonomy places the organism in Eukaryota, Metazoa, Chordata, Actinopteri, Salmoniformes, Salmonidae. The record is from RefSeq and is a predicted model, not a curated record. The transcript is spliced from 3 exons.